Long non-coding RNA from Monodelphis domestica (gray short-tailed opossum), 5615 nucleotides. RefSeq lists it as uncharacterized. NCBI's taxonomy places the organism in Eukaryota, Metazoa, Chordata, Mammalia, Didelphimorphia, Didelphidae. The record is from RefSeq and is a predicted model, not a curated record.
GGGUGCCCUUCUAGUCCGGGGAGGAGGACCCACCCCGGAUGGCAGAGAUGACACUGUUCUGCCAAGUACCUCCUCGGGGCCAUCCGACUCCAAGGGUGGGUCAUUCCAUGUUACAGAAACUCUGCAACUUUCCCUUAUGAACCACCAGGCCCAGGUUUGCGGCUCUUGACUUAAAGUCAGCAUAAUGUUGGAGGACCAAAUCUAGGGGGGGGGUGGACUGGCCUUGACCCAUAUUAGGUCCAGAGGUUAAGGAGAGGAUGAGGAGAUAAAUCAGAGAGAGUAGGAUGAGGAGGAGGGUGAUACCAGAGAGUUCAAAGAAUCCCGAUGUUGGCAACUGCCUGUCAGAGGCCAGUCACCCAGUCCCUGCCUUGUGGCCAAAAAGACCCAGCAUGUCUAUAAGGGUCACCUAGGGCUAUAAGAGUCACCUAGAGAUCAUGGGGCUUCCCCUGGUCUCUCUUAGGGGUGCAAUAUCUUCCCCAGUGGGACUCGAACCCCCUGCCCUUCAAUUUAGUUGAGAAUAAUCCCAACCUGAUGGAGACCUGAGCUCCACCUUGGGGGACUCAAACCCCUGAAAGUUCCAAGGUCGGUACGUACUCUGACCCAUAAUCCUUCACCACCCCUCAAACAGAUCUUAAGCUCUUCCCCUGGUUCCUGACUGGCUCCCUCAUGGGUGAUAAAACUACGGUACUGCAGGGUCCACUCUCAGAAACAUGUAGGAGGUUUGGACAGAUGCUGCGGGGCGAACCCCUCACCCCAGAACACGCUGGGCCUCGGAACUUAGCAUAGGAUGUCCCCAUAUGACCCACGGGCCAUGGAAUCUCCCAUACACUAAGCCAUAUGUUUGGCGAGAGUCCUCUUCCCCAUACACACUUUCGAUCACCACACACACACUCUACUUGGCUCACCUGAAGGUCCGGUCCAAGGCAGUGCCCUCAGCCCUUCUGUCAAGGGGUUCCAAGGUGGGGAUGAGGAUCCCGGGAUGAACCCCCAAAUGUUAAGGUCUGAGUCUCCGCCCACCACCAAGGAAAACCAGUAGGCAAUGCAAUCAAGCAAAAGGAUUGUUUAUUGAUCUGGUGCACACCAGGGGAGCUCAGCACAAGAGCUCCGCCUGUAGCUUGUAAGUGCAGAGGUUUUUAUACCCAUCACCCGCCAGCAUGUCACCCACCAGCAUACAUGGCCCACAAGUUCCUCCUAGAAUCUAUGGCUUGGGUGUUGACACAUUUAUGUUUUCUGCCGGGGGUCUGUUUGCUAGAUGUUUCACAGCAGUAUGUGUUGCAAUGACUGAGAAGUUCCUUGCUUGGGCCUCUCUCAGUGUGAACAGUGGAACCUUGGUUCUUUUCCACAACAUUUAUGGAACUUGGUGUAGUGAGCAAUGCUUUGUAUGUUCCAACCCAUUUUAUGUUUGUAGUUGUUUUUUUACUAAAGUUUUUGAUGUACACUUUAUAUUCUGGUUUGAUGUUAUGUAGAUUGUAACAAUUUUAAAACUAGUUGUGCCUUUAAGUUACAAAAUCGGCUGGGAUGAAGGAAGGGCAAACUGAGGCUGCUCUGUGUUCCCAUGCAGGUUUGAAACCCCACGAGGGUGGGAGGAGGGGUUGGCCACAGCCAGAAAUAGGGGUGGUAAUAAUGGGCACUCAGUUAGGGGGACCAGGAAAAUAGCUGACUGUGAGAGCAGCUGUUCUAGGGGGUGGGGGAUUUACACUUUACCCUCUGUGCCCUGGAGAGGCUGGUGUAGGCAGGAGCAGCAUGUUGCAAGAGAUUACAGGAUUGCUAGGCUGGGGCUGUUGGGUGGGGAAGGCAACACUCAGCCAAGGGGAAACACAGGGAGAGAGAGUGAGGAAGAGAGAGACAGUAGUAAACCAGAUCCCUCUCAGCUACAAAGGGUAGGGUGGAAGAGAAGUGAAGGUGGGCUAGAGCAAAUGAGGAGUAGGUUGCUGGGAGGUGUAAAAAUAAAAUGGACAGAUUCCUUUAAGAGAGACAUGGAACUGGGGAUCUGGGUUUAGUUUUACCAGAUCUACAGGGUGUCCUGUCCCGCUAUGAAACAGAGGCUAAAAGAUGGUUGUUUCUCAUUUCAAAGCCAGUAAUUUUGGUUGUAAUGAUAUAGCAACCAUGUGAGGAAGGAAUAAAUGUCUCAAGGAUAGAAUGUUCGGUCCGGUUCUGGUUCGGAUUCCAAGGAGGAGACACACAUGGUAAUGCAAUACACAGAAGGUAGUUUAUUCAAGCUAUAGUUUGGGCCUCCACAAGAAGCGGAAGAUCACCAGCAUUACAUAGGUCUGGUUUAUAUAGAGGGGCUACGAGUGGGGGGUCAUCUUGAGAACCAGGCGCCAAAAGAGAAGACAUCAAUCUUAGUCCCUGAUACCCAGAUAUUUCCUUUUAACAUAUGGUCAGCCAGUGACCCAGGUCAGUGAAACCUGAAGUCUUGAGAUAACAUAUCCUUAUGGCAGUACAUAAAUAAGGACAUGGUAGUUUUAGUUCUUGGGACAAGGGGCCCCAUUAGUGUAUUAUCUGGAGGGCAAUUUCCCAUGAUAACAGUAUGUUUCUUAAUUCUCCACUUCUUUUAGAACAAUGAGGAAUCCUACUCAUGGGAACAUGUCCUCAUAGGGACAUGGAUGUCGUUUAGGGGCAAGUAUUGCUGCCUUAGGACCAUGAGUUGGACUGUGUUAAUGCGCUUCUUUACAAAGUGCACAAGUCUAUUAAUGAUACAAGGACCAAAGGUCAGCAAAAUUAUGAGAAUGAAAAGGGGACUUAAUAAAGUGGAAAUAAGGGUCGUGAGCCAAGGGGAUUGGUAGAAAAUAUGCUCAAACCAUCCUUCUUGGGAUUCUUGCUCUCAUUGUUGGGUAGCGAGGCCUUCUCUGAGUUUGGUCAUGAUUUCUUGCACGACCCUAGUGUGAUCAGAAUAAAAGCAACAUUCUUCCCACGGGCCACACAGAAGCCUCCUUGUUGGAGGAAAAGGAGAGAUCUAAGCCCCUACGGUUCUGGAGGGUUAUCUCAGAUAGGGAAGUGAGGGAUCUCUCUAAAUGGAUAAUAGAACUUUAUAUUCUGGCUAGAUCCUCAUCUACUGUGGCCCGCAAAGCCGACGGAGUUUGAGGCUCCUACCCCCGCUAGGCUGAAGAUGGUCACAAGGGUGAUAAUCAUGAUUGGUUCUCAUCUAAUCUUGGUGAUUACCAGGAAGCGGGCUUCCCAGUAGUGGUAAAAGUCCUCUUCAGAGUGGAAGAGGAUGCAGGGCAGGAUCACAACGAGACACAUUUCACCAGUAGAAGACAGAGUGACCUGGGCUACACAGGGUGUUAGUCUAGUAGUGGAGCAUAGCCACCUAGCUCCCUGGGGAGGAAUAUAGAAUUUAUCUGUACUUGUGGAAUUUCUGUCACAUAGCUGGGCUAGAGGUUUAGAGGCGUUCCCUAUACAGUAGCCAAUCCCCGAGACGGACUAUAAGGUAAGGCCAGUCUUUCUGUCAUCCCAGUCACACUCGGGGGGUGGGGGUGGGGUUCCUUGUUGGAGGUUUUAUAGGAAGCAUUUAAUGCUAUAGCUUCGUAGUAUGGGGGUCAGGCAUCAAGGAAGAGCCAGCAGCUCUCUGUGAGGUUAGGGAAGGUUUGGUUCAAUGAGAGGUAUGAAGCUCAUAACAUGAGCCAUAAGGGGUCAUUCUGGGCCCAUAACCCAGAGGUCGAUGGAUGUGGAUCAGGUCCAGGACUCCCAAUUGCAGGAGAAAUAGAGUUAAGGCCGGAGAGCAUUGUGGGAGUGGGUAGAAGGGUGUUCAGAAGAUUUUAGGGAGGGCUUGGGGGAUCUGGGCCUUUUAGGACAACAGAAAUACAGGUCAGAUUCAUCCUUGCAUAGGCUAUGGGAAGCGGGGGAUGUAGCCCUGUGCCAGUGGGAGUAAUGGACCCCCCCCUGGUUUCCAUGUUCUGAAAGAGUUGGCAGGUAGUGAUGUUGAAACUGGGGGAAGUGGAAGUUACUUGUGAGUCUACUAUCCUUUGGUCUUACCAUUGUUGCAAAGUCCAUCUCCAGGGUUGAUAAGGGUUAGUAGACUCUUGUACUGAGUUAUGGGAUUGGCGGAGCAGGAAGUACAGGAUCAGCAGGAGCGGCAUCUCCGGGUCACUUGGAGCUUGAGUAUGGAUUAGAUGGGUGCUUAUGGACAGAACAGGAGUCAGUGCAAGUCAGCAGGUGUUGCCUUUCGGAUAUGGGAGUGGUGUAUCCAAGGUCCAAUCCCAUCCACUUUGAGUGUUGAGGGGGUAACAAAGAGGGUUACAAAGGGACUCUUCCAAUGGGGCUGUAAGGAGACUUUGUGAUGUCACUUAAACCAUACCCAAUCUCCAGGUUUGUAAGGGUGGGGUCAUAAGGGGCUGGUUGAAAGAGGUCAAUGGCUUGAGGCCAAAUGUCCUUCUGAAAUUGUGCUAGACUCAACAACAUAGGUUCAGGGGAGCUGUGACCACCCCUUAUGUAAUUGUACUCACGAAGGCCAGACCAUUGUCGGAAGCAAUGGUCUCCGGUAACCCAUACCGAGGGAUGAUUUCUUCAAGAAGCUUCUUUGCAACUAUUAACAGCUUCGGUCUUAGUCAGAAACGUCUCUGGCCGUACUGAAAAGAUGUCAACUAGAACAGGGAGAUAUUUAAGCCCAAACUUUCUUGGUUUUAUUUCAGUACAGUCAAUUUCCCACUGUUGGCAAGGCCUUUGUCCCCUUAUUCUCUGUCCAAUAUGUUUGUCAGGUUUAGCUGCAUGGAGGAGUUGGCAUGCUGUGCAAGAAUCGACCAGCUGGUGAAGAAAUUGGCCUCUAUAUAUACUUGAGUUUGCCUUUGUCCAAGAGUUGUGCAAGUUUUCAGUCUCCUAGGUGGAAGAGAUGGUGCAAAUGGAUAGUAAGGAGCUGCCCUAAUGCCUCUGGAAGGAGCAUAUUCCCUUCAGGGUCACAGUACCACACACACACCCCCUCCGCUUGUCCUAGGCAGCUCUUGAUUCAAGCUUCCAAAGAGUUUCCCUUCUGAUGCCUGGGAAUAUGUACCACAGCCACUGCUUUUGGUUCCCAGACCACCAAUUGGAGAUCCUGAAUUUCAGGAAGAUUACAGACUGGGGCUCCAUCAGAGGUAACAAACCCCCUUUCCCAAUAUAUUGGGGCAUGCACAUGUAGGGUGGUAAAGGCUUACCUGCUGUCCAUAUAUACUGUGGUUCUUAUCCCUUCUGCUUUCCUAAGGGCUUCUGUUAGGGCAACCAACUCAGCUUUUUGGGCUGAGGUUCCUUCAGGUAAGGCUGCUGGCCACACAGUUUCGCCUGCUGAAUUCACAAUGGCUGUCUGAGCCAAUUGGUGCACAUUUUCAAGAAAACUGCUGCCAUUCGUGAAUAGGAUUAGGUCACUGUUUGGUAGGGGUUCAUCUUGUAACCCAGGUCAAGCGGUGAUUGCAUCCGCUAAAAUCUCUCCACAAUCAUGUAUUGGGGCCGGAUUGGGAGGAGGCAGAUUGGGCAGUAGGGUAGCUGGGUUGAGUGAAGAGACGACCUUGAACAAGAUGUGUGAAGUAUCUAAUAACAGUGAUUGGUAAUGUGCCGAUCUGGUGUGUGAAAACCAGCGACUUGGCGGCUGUUUCAAUACCCCCUCAAUGGCAUGGAUUGUAGAGAGAAUUAAAGAUUGUCCACAA